CGUAUCUCUGGAGCGCUUCUGC
RNAcentral lists this microRNA (22 nucleotides) under Ornithorhynchus anatinus (platypus). RNAcentral describes it as "oan-miR-7418-5p". Lineage: Eukaryota; Metazoa; Chordata; Mammalia; Monotremata; Ornithorhynchidae. The record is from miRBase by way of RNAcentral.